AAUAAAUACUAAAAUGUUCGGGCUCAUAACCCGAAGGUCGUAGGUUCAAAUCCUGC
Molecule: non-coding RNA, 56 nt
Organism: Proteobacteria bacterium SG_bin4
Lineage: Bacteria; Pseudomonadati; Pseudomonadota
Source: Rfam